This is a non-coding RNA of Ictidomys tridecemlineatus (thirteen-lined ground squirrel), 70 nucleotides long. The record is from Rfam. NCBI's taxonomy places the organism in Eukaryota, Metazoa, Chordata, Mammalia, Rodentia, Sciuridae.
GGGGUUAUGGCUUAGUGGUUAGAGCGCUUGCCUCUAAUGCAUGGAGCACUGGGUUUGAUCCUUAGCACCA